Molecule: RNase P RNA, 409 nt
Filed under: Algoriphagus sanaruensis
Lineage: Bacteria; Pseudomonadati; Bacteroidota; Cytophagia; Cytophagales; Cyclobacteriaceae
Description: Algoriphagus sp. M8-2 Bacterial RNase P class A
Rfam family: Bacterial RNase P class A
About the family: Ribonuclease P (RNase P) is a ubiquitous endoribonuclease, found in archaea, bacteria and eukarya as well as chloroplasts and mitochondria. Its best characterised activity is the generation of mature 5'-ends of tRNAs by cleaving the 5'-leader elements of precursor-tRNAs. Cellular RNase Ps are ribonucleoproteins.
Source: Rfam by way of RNAcentral
CGUGCAAGUUGUCUUGUCGCCUUAGUGAUUUUCGAAUAACUGGGGAGGAAAGUCCGGGCAACAUAGAGCGCCAUACUUCCUAACGGGAAGGCUUUUUACUGGAGACGGUAAAAAGACAGCUAGUGCCACAGAAAACAAACCGUCCUGAUAGCUUUCUAUCGGGAUAAGGGUGAAAAGGUGGGGUAAGAGCCCACCGCUCCGACAGUGAUGAAGGAGGCAUGGCAAACCUUAUGGGUUGAAAGAUCAAAUAGGCCCCGGGCAAAGAGCUGCUCGUUCGAUUCUUACUUUUCGAAGUAGGAUUCCGGGGUGGGUAGAUCGAUAGAGUUCUGGUGUGAAUCAGAAUCAAGAUAAAUGACAAGAAUCCCGAUUUAUCGGGAUACAGAACCCGGCUUAUAGACUUGCACUUUUU